Molecule: transfer RNA, 77 nt
Filed under: Candidatus Bathyarchaeota archaeon
Lineage: Archaea; Thermoproteati; Candidatus Bathyarchaeota
Also listed under: 3 other names
Description: tRNA-Val
Rfam family: tRNA
About the family: Transfer RNA (tRNA) molecules are approximately 80 nucleotides in length.
Source: RNAcentral
GGGCCGGUAGUUCAGAUGGUUAGAACGCCCGCCUCACACGCGGGAGGUCCCCGGUUCAAGUCCGGGCCGGCCCACCA